Long non-coding RNA from Parus major (Great Tit), 685 nucleotides. Lineage: Eukaryota; Metazoa; Chordata; Aves; Passeriformes; Paridae. The record is from Ensembl.
GAUGUACUCAUCUGCACAGUGAUCUCUUACUGUCUUACUGAAACAUGAGCACAUCUGAAUGUGUGUGUCCAUGUCCAUGUGUGUCUAUGCAUGUGCUUCUGCAAAUGUAGGAAUUAACUCCAUUUCUGUAUUUCCCUUCAUAGGAAGGGCUGAUUUCAUGCACUUAACCAGGAGUUUAUCUGACUCUGCAGCUUGAGAAGUCCAGAGUUAUGAGUUACAAUUCGUGAACUUCAAGACAGCCUAUGGUGUGUAGAUACAUGGCCAGAUCUGGGAAAGGAAAUCAGCACAGCACCCCAGGGGUCAGUGGAGCUUCAAUACCCAUCGAGGACCUGCCCAUGCUCACCAGGAGCUGGAUGAAGCCCUUCCCUGUUCCAGUGUUAAACAUCAGCACCACAACUGCAGGGUGAAUAUGCAGCUGGGAAGAUUUGAGCCUUGCCACAAAACUUGUGUAGCCCUGGCACUUGAGAUGCAGGGCCAGCUUGUCCAACUCCCAGACAAAGAGCUGUUGUUCAAAAUACAUGGAGGGAACCUGGAUUUCCACAUGGAAUGUCUGCUGCAGUGUGUGAGGUAACCUCAUUUACACCCACCAGUCCCCAUCAGUAUUUGUGCUGUCUGCUGAUAGGGAAGGCUCCAGGAACUGCUCAAAAAAAAGGCCUACAGAGCUGGCUCCUUGCCUUGCUAGUUU